Molecule: transfer RNA, 72 nt
Filed under: Lachnospiraceae bacterium RM5
Lineage: Bacteria; Bacillati; Bacillota; Clostridia; Lachnospirales; Lachnospiraceae
Rfam family: tRNA
About the family: Transfer RNA (tRNA) molecules are approximately 80 nucleotides in length. Their secondary structure includes four short double-helical elements and three loops (D, anti-codon, and T loops).
Source: Rfam by way of RNAcentral
GUACCUAUAGCUUAAUGGAUAGAGCAUUGGCCUCCGGAGCCAAAGAUUUGAGUUCGAUUCUCAAUAGGUACG